CCUACGUGCUGCAGCAGUGGGGAAUAUUGGACAAUGGGCGAAAGCCUGAUCCAGCCAUGCCGCGUGUGUGAAGAAGGCCUUCGGGUUGUAAAGCACUUUCAGUGGGGAAGAAAGCCUUGGGGCUAAUACCCUCGAGGAAGGACAUCACCCACAGAAGAAGCACCGGCUAACUCCGUGCCAGCAGCCGCGGUAAUACGGAGGGUGCGAGCGUUAAUCGGAAUUACUGGGCGUAAAGCGCUCGUAGGCGGUCUGAUAAGCCGGUUGGGAAAGCCCCGGGCUCAACCUGGGAACGGCAUCCGGAACUGUCAGGCUAGAGUGCAGGAGAGGAAGGUAGAAUUCCCGGUGUAGCGGUGAAAUGCGUAGAGAUCGGGAGGAAUACCAGUGGCGAAGGCGGCCUUCUGGACUGACACUGACGCUGAGGUGCGAAAGCGUGGGUAGCAAACAGGAUUAGAUACCCGGGUAGUC
This 465-nucleotide ribosomal RNA is filed under the name Vreelandella stevensii. RNAcentral describes it as "partial 16S ribosomal RNA". It matches the Rfam family "Bacterial small subunit ribosomal RNA", at positions 338 to 795 of the family's 1533-position model. The record is from RNAcentral. Lineage: Bacteria; Pseudomonadati; Pseudomonadota; Gammaproteobacteria; Oceanospirillales; Halomonadaceae.